GAUGAAGAACGUAGCGAAAUGCGAUAAGUAAUGUGAAUUGCAGAAUUCAGUGAAUCAUCGAAUCUUUGAACGCACAUUGCGCCCGCCAGUAUUCUGGCGGGCAUGCCUGUCCGAGCGUCAUUUCAACCCUCGAACCCCUCCGGGGGGUCGGCGUUGGGGAUCGGCCCUUUACGGGGCCGGCCCCGAAAUACAGUGGCGGUCUCGCCGCAGCCUCUCCUGCGCAGUAGUUUGCACACUCGCAUCAGGAGCGCGGCGCGUCCACAGCCGUUAAACACCCCAAACUUCUGAAAUGUUGACCUCGGAUCAGGUAGGAAUACCCGCUGAACUUAAGCAUAUCAAUAAGCGGAGGA
RNAcentral lists this unclassified non-coding RNA (350 nucleotides) under soil metagenome. RNAcentral's name for it is "partial contains 5.8S ribosomal RNA, internal transcribed spacer 2, and large subunit ribosomal RNA". The stretch from base 1 to 120 matches the Rfam family "5.8S ribosomal RNA", at positions 35 to 154 of the family's 154-position model. The record is from RNAcentral.